RNAcentral lists this transfer RNA (64 nucleotides) under Isotomurus maculatus. RNAcentral's name for it is "tRNA-Leu". The record is from RNAcentral. Lineage: Eukaryota; Metazoa; Arthropoda; Collembola; Entomobryomorpha; Isotomidae.
UCUAAUGUGGCAGACUAGUGCAGUGAGCUUAAGACUCAAACAUGAAAAUUAACUUCCUUUAGAA